GAUGAACGCUAGCGGCAGGCUUAAUACAUGCAAGUCGAGGGGCAGCAGGACUGUAGCAAUACAGUUGCUGGCGACCGGCAAACGGGUGCGGAACACGUACGCAACUUACCCUGAACUGGGGGAUAGCCCGGGGAAACCCGGAUUAAUACCCCGUAAUAUAAUUGAGUGGCAUCACUUUAUUAUUAAAGCUCCGGCGGUUCGGGAUGGGCGUGCGGCUGAUUAGGUAGUUGGUUGAGGUAACGGCUGACCAACCCUACGAUCAGUAACUGGUGUGAGAGCACGACCAGUCGCACGGGGACUGGGACACGGGCCCGACUGCUACGGGAGGCAGCAGUAAGGAAUAUUGGGAAAUGGAGGCAACUCUGACCCAGCCAUGCCGCGUGGAGGAUGAAGGCACUCUGGGUUGUAAACUUCUUUUAUAGGGGACGAACCCUGUGUAUGCUUACGCAGUGGACGGUACCCUAGGAAUAAGCACCGGCUAACUCCGU
This 488-nucleotide ribosomal RNA is filed under the name uncultured bacterium. RNAcentral describes it as "partial 16S ribosomal RNA". It matches the Rfam family "Bacterial small subunit ribosomal RNA", at positions 28 to 506 of the family's 1533-position model. The record is from RNAcentral.